GCGAGACCCCUCUCCAACGAGCGAGCCAGACAUCGCAGACUACUAUGAUCCAGAAAUGUUUCAAACCAGACGCAUGACCCGAUCAAUGUCUAUGUACUACCACCCGAAGAUUUACCCUCGGGAAUACCCUUGAGUACCUUUCAUUAGUUUUUGUUCGUGUCCUGUUUACUGUGAUUGCAUUUUAUCUUCAGAUAUUUGUUACAAUUUACAUUUGCUGGAGGUCAGGUCCAUGCCCCC
This 237-nucleotide long non-coding RNA is filed under the name Olea europaea (common olive). RNAcentral describes it as "long non-coding RNA (OEUR_LNC015099)". The record is from RNAcentral. Lineage: Eukaryota; Viridiplantae; Streptophyta; Magnoliopsida; Lamiales; Oleaceae.